CCUGCCCAAGAGAUCGGGAUAACACCUGGAAACAGAUGCUAAUACCGGAUAACAACAGAUGAUGCCUAUCAACUGUUUAAAAGAUGGUUCUGCUAUCACUCUUGGAUGGACCUGCGGUGCAUUAGCUAGUUGGUAGGGUAACGGCCUACCAAGGCGAUGAUGCAUAGCCGAGUUGAGAGACUGAUCGGCCACAUUGGGACUGAGACACGGCCCAAACUCCUACGGGAGGCAGCAGAC
RNAcentral lists this ribosomal RNA (237 nucleotides) under uncultured Lactobacillus sp. RNAcentral describes it as "partial 16S ribosomal RNA". It matches the Rfam family "Bacterial small subunit ribosomal RNA", at positions 125 to 354 of the family's 1533-position model. The record is from RNAcentral. Lineage: Bacteria; Bacillati; Bacillota; Bacilli; Lactobacillales; Lactobacillaceae.